RNAcentral lists this ribosomal RNA (484 nucleotides) under uncultured bacterium. RNAcentral describes it as "partial 16S ribosomal RNA". It matches the Rfam family "Bacterial small subunit ribosomal RNA", at positions 30 to 507 of the family's 1533-position model. The record is from RNAcentral.
AUUGAACGCUAGCGGGAUGCUUUACACAUGCAAGUCGAACGGCAGCGCGGACUUCGGUCUGGCGGCGAGUGGCGAACGGGUGAGUAAUGUAUCGGAACGUGCCCAGUAGCGGGGGAUAACUACGCGAAAGCGUAGCUAAUACCGCAUACGCCCUACGGGGGAAAGCAGGGGAUCGUAAGACCUUGCACUAUUGGAGCGGCCGAUAUCGGAUUAGCUAGUUGGUGAGGUAACGGCUCACCAAGGCGACGAUCCGUAGCUGGUUUGAGAGGACGACCAGCCACACUGGGACUGAGACACGGCCCAGACUCCUACGGGAGGCAGCAGUGGGGAAUUUUGGACAAUGGGGGCAACCCUGAUCCAGCCAUCCCGCGUGUGCGAUGAAGGCCUUCGGGUUGUAAAGCCCUUUUGGCAGGAAAGAAACGUCGCGGGCUAAUACCCCGUGGAACUGACGGUACCUGCAGAAUAAGCACCGGCUAACUACGUG